This 3058-nucleotide unclassified non-coding RNA is filed under the name Amphibalanus amphitrite. RNAcentral's name for it is "cystinosin homolog, transcript variant X11". The record is from RNAcentral. Lineage: Eukaryota; Metazoa; Arthropoda; Thecostraca; Balanomorpha; Balanidae.
AUCCACGGCCGUCUUGUUCAUUUUUUUGCACUGUUUCUGUGCUCUUUUCUUUUUAAAAUUGAUGUCGAAGCGCCGUCUUUUUGUUUUCUUCGCGGUAGCAGAUUAUCGUUUAUAUGCUUUUCUCUCAGAUCUUUUUUAUUUUUAUUAGUUAUCAAAUCAAGUUCAGCCUCUCUGGCCUCUUUCUAAAUGCACCAUCAACUCCAGUUCACCGCGGGACUGUUUAGAUGACCGUGGUCUCGCCCCGUUCCAGCUCUGGCACCCUGCGCUGUGAGAUCCCGCAGGUAGCGCGCACAGACCACCAUGCGGAUCCGGCCCAGAGAGGUGCUGCUUCUCACCGUCUGCCUGGCAGCGCUGUUUGGGCCCGCUGCCAGUGAUGCCGUCCCCCGGGCAUACACCAACGGGCACGAUAUUCGGCUGGAGAUCAGCAAAAAUGGCUUGUUUCAUGUUUUCUUCGACGCGCCGGUGCCGGAGGAACUCACGCUGACCUUUCAUCGGAGCGACGAGUCCGUCCUGGGGGAGCUGGCGCCCCUACAGAUAGCCGCCAACAGUACAGAGACCAUCACGGUGCGGCUGGAGCCGCUUCACCGGGGACACUGCACGGUCACUGCCAACACGUCACUGCCCGAGGACCAGUUCAGUGCGUCUGAUGUCUACGUGCGCGUCAACGUGCUGGAGACGUUCGGUCUGGACACGUUCAGCUCGGUGGUGGGCUGGGUCUAUUUCGCCGCCUGGACGGUGUCGUUCUACCCGCAGAUAUACACCAACUACAGACGAAAAAGCGUGGUCGGCCUGAACUUUGACUUUCUGGCGCUGAACCUGGUCGGGUUUACAUUCUAUUCGGUGUUCAACUGCGGGCUGUACUUCUCAGUCGCCAUUCAGGACAUGUACUUUGCCGACCACCCCUACGGCCUGGUCCCGGUGGCGGUCAAUGACGUUGUGUUUGCGCUGCACGCGCUGUUCGCCUGCAUCGUCACCGUACUGCAGUGCUUCAUCUAUGAGCGCGGUGGCCAGACAGUCUCGCUGGCGGCUCGCGGCCUGCUGGUCGUCUUCGCGCUGGUCAUCAUCAUCACGGCCAUCGUGGCCGGCUGCGGCGUGGUCAACUGGCUCUGGUUCCUCUACGUCUUCUCCUACGUCAAGCUGGCCAUCACCAUCGUCAAAUAUGUGCCGCAGGCGUACCACAACUACCAGCGCCGCAGCACAGAGGGCUGGGCGAUCGGUAACGUGCUGCUCGACUUCACCGGCGGCUCGCUCAGCAUUCUGCAGAUGUUCAUCGAUGCCUACAACUACAACGACUGGUCGUCGAUAUUCGGCAACCCGACCAAGUUCGGUCUGGGCCUGUUCUCUGUGCUGUUCGACAUUCUCUUCAUAUGCCAGCACUACUGUCUCUACCGUGCCGUACUGUGCCGUUCCGUGCCGUGCUGAGGGGACGCUUCUUGCAGCGACAGCAGUCCGUACUCGGCAAUAGACGGCGGUCCGCCGCUGUUGACUCCAACGGAGCUCAUUAGCUAGUUCCCGGCCGGAUGCCUCUGAGCUGCCCAUCAGCUCCUCUACCUCGGGGACGGGCAACACCCAUGAGGCCUACACCAAGUUCUAGCUCUUCCAGUCGCCUGUCGACGCGGGCGGCUUGCCGUUGCUGUGUGGCCGAGAGGGACUCCUACCGCCCCUGUGUAGCUGAGAGGGACUCCUACCGCCCCUGUGUAGCCGAGAGGGACUCCUACCGUCGCUCGCGGUGUGGCUCGCCACUGUUUCGGGGCGAUGUGGAGCCACUGCCGAAGCUCUCCUGCCACGUAGAUAAAGCGUGGGUGACGGUAGGGUCGGUUAUUGCCGGCGUGGCUUUGACUAGCUGUCUGCUAUUGCCAAGAACUCGGUCUGAGAGACGCAGACUGUGCCCGCGAGACUCACCGUACCAGCUGAAAAGUGAUAGAAGGGACGGGGUCGUUCAACUGCUCAGUGUCAGUGGUGAUAUAGUGGUCGACAAUGAUAGAAUGCUGUCCCCGUGCUCCUACUGGGGUGCGGCAGGGAUAAUACUUGAUCAAUGAUCAUGACGUUUUAGCUCACGUGUGGAGUGUAGUUAGCCGAGGAUUGAGUAUAGUAUCGCUAGUUGAUACUCACGAUGGGUGCUGUUCCGUUUACAUGAUAUUUGAUUCCAUGAACGGGGGCCAAUAUUUACGCUCCCUUAGGUAUCUACUGGCCAUGCUAGUCGACUGCUCCGAUUGCUCGGUGGGAUGGUCUGUCACGCACGAUAGUGUUAUUACUGGACCCUGCGGCAGACGGUGAUAUGUGAAUAGCGCGCCUGCGUGGUCCAUAUAGUCUCCGGUGUCUAUGAGCGCAGCGCUGGGUUUGAGGCCGGCCAGUCCCGCCAUUGAUCAAAGUAUUAUUUAUCGUGUUUGUUUGUGUGUUGAUAGAGGUGUGUGCGUGUUGUGCCAUAUUUAUCAUUUGUUCUGAUUUGUAUUAGCUUUAUUUCACAGUAUGCGUCAUAUUAAGUCGUAAACCGUGAUAUAUUCAUUGCCGUGUUAUAUAUAUUUAGCGGGGACCUGAAGAACAAAUGAAAUUGAUAUCGUAGAUUGGGAUCUCGACAAUCGACUGUUUCACGUUGUAUUAUGUAUCAGUGCUGUUUUAUUUUCAAUGCUCUUCGAUCGAGAAGGCUUGCUAUCGCUCGAUUUUGAACAAGCUUAUCCAGACCAUCAAGUUUACCGUGCCAUGUUGACUCAAUUUUCGCACUGGACAUUUCCUGCGCCUAUAAGUGUCAUCAAGUAACAUUAGCGUUACUGGCCGCUAUGAGCUAGUCUUGUAUUGUUUAUAGGCGCGAAUAUUCGAUGCGAUGCGAAACCCUUGUAUAAUUCCAAACUGCUUUUAAACGGAAUUGCUAAACGUUGCAACAUUUAACCGGACAUGCUAAAUAAUAUUGCUUUGCGUUGUUUCAUUUUACAAGGUGGACAAUCCUUGCUGGAGUCGGAACUAUGUCGUCACAAUAAGCCUAUCAUGAUCGCUGGAUUUUGACUGCCAGUGUCUGAUGUAUAAUUGCACAGUGUUUAUACAACUUAUAUCGGUCGUUCUA